This 395-nucleotide ribosomal RNA is filed under the name uncultured Glomus. Its description in RNAcentral is "SSU rRNA". It matches the Rfam family "Eukaryotic small subunit ribosomal RNA", at positions 569 to 969 of the family's 1831-position model. Lineage: Eukaryota; Fungi; Glomeromycota; Glomeromycetes; Glomerales; Glomeraceae. The record is from RNAcentral.
AGCAGCCGCGGUAAUUCCAGCUCCAAUAGCGUAUAUUAAAGUUGUUGCAGUUAAAAAGCUCGUAGUUGAACUUCGGGAUCAAUUAGUUGGUCAUGCCUUGGUAUGUACUGAUUUUAUUGGUUCUCACCUUCUAAAGAACUAUAAUGUCAUUUAUUUGAUGUUAUAGGGAAUUAGGACUGUUACCUUGAAAAAAUUAGAGUGUUUAAAGCAGGCUCACGCUUGAAUACAUUAGCAUGGAAUAAUGAAAUAGGACAUCGCAUUCUAUUUUGUUGGUUUCUAGGAUCGAUGUAAUGAUUAAUAGGGAUAGUUGGGGGCAUUAGUAUUCAAUUGUCAGAGGUGAAAUUCUUGGAUUUAUUGAAGACUAACUACUGCGAAAGCAUUUGCCAAGGAUGUUU